This 2687-nucleotide ribosomal RNA is filed under the name Clostridioides difficile. RNAcentral's name for it is "bacterial LSU rRNA". It matches the Rfam family "Bacterial large subunit ribosomal RNA". The record is from RNAcentral. Lineage: Bacteria; Bacillati; Bacillota; Clostridia; Peptostreptococcales; Peptostreptococcaceae.
AGGGUGCAGGGCGGAUGCCUUGGCACUAGGAGCCGAUGAAGGACGUGAUAAGCUGCGAUAAGCUUCGGGGAGUUGCACGUAAACUUUGAUCCGAAGAUUUCCGAAUGAGGAAACUCACUUAGAGUAAUGUCUAAGUAUCAUUAAGUGAAUACAUAGCUUAAUGAGGGGAACUCAGGGAACUGAAACAUCUAAGUACCUGAAGGAAGAGAAAGAAAUUCGAUUCCGUAAGUAGCGGCGAGCGAACGCGGAUUAGCCCAAACCAAUAAAGUUUUCUUUAUUGGGGUUGCGGACAUAUCAUAACGAAGAGGUAUCGUAAUUGAAGAGGUUUGGAAAGACCCACCACAGAAGGUAAUAGUCCUGUAUGUUAAACGAGAAGACUUCAGAUAUGAUCCAGAGUACCACGGGACACGUGAAACCCUGUGGGAAGCAGGAGGGACCACCCUCCAAGGCUAAAUACUACCUAGUGACCGAUAGCGUAUAGUACCGUGAGGGAAAGGUGAAAAGAACCCCGGGAGGGGAGUGAAAUAGAACCUGAAACCCUGCACUUACAAGCUGUGGAAGCACAUUUCUUGUGUGACCGCGUACUUUUUGUAGAACGGGCCAACGAGUUACGUUAAGUAGCAAGGUUAAGCACUUAAGGUGCGGAGCCGUAGCGAAAGCGAGUUUUAACUGAGCGUUCAGUUACUUGACGUAGACCCGAAACCGGGCGACCUACCCAUGAGCAGGAUGAAGCGAAAGUAAAAUUUCGUGGAGGUCCGAACCCACGAGCGUUGAAAAGCUCGGGGAUGACUUGUGGGUAGCGGUGAAAUUCCAAUCGAGCCCGGAGAUAGCUGGUUCUCCCCGAAAUAGCUUUAGGGCUAGCCUCAAGGUGAGAGAUACGGAGGUAGAGCACUGAAUGUCCUAGGGGGUAUUGCACCUACCGAAGACUAUCAAACUCCGAAUGCCGUCAUCUUAUACUUGGGAGUCAGACUGUGGGUGAUAAGAUUCAUAGUCGAAAGGGCAACAGCCCAGAUCGUCAGCUAAGGUCCCUAAAUGUAAGUUAAGUGGUAAAGGAUGUGGGAUUGCACAGACAACCAGGAUGUUGGCUUAGAAGCAGCCACUCAUUCAAAGAGUGCGUAAUAGCUCACUGGUCGAGUGAUCCUGCGCCGAAGAUUUCCGGGGCUAAAACUUACUACCGAAGCUACGGCAUCAGUAAUGAUGGGUAGGGGAGCUUCCCAUACGGGUUGAAGCAUGACCGUAAGGACAUGUGGACAGUAUGGGAGUGAGAAUGUUGGCAUGAGUAGCGAGAUGUGGGUGAGAAUCCCACAGGCCGUAAACCCAAGGUUUCCAGGGGAAGGUUCGUCCGCCCUGGGUUAGUCGGGACCUAAGCUGAGGCCGAAAGGCGUAGGUGAUGGACAACAGGUUGAUAUUCCUGUACUACCGAUAACCGUUUGAGAGAAGGGAUGACACAGUAGGAUAAGCUAAGCACACUGUUGGUUAUGUGUGCCCAAGCAUUGAGGCAGUCAAAGUAGGCAAAUCCGCUUUGAUAAUGCUGGGAUGUGAUGGGGAGCGAAAUUUAGUAGCGAAGUAGCUGAUUUCACACUGUCAAGAAAAGUCUCUAUCGAGGUUAAAGGUACCCGUACCGCAAACCGACACAGGUGGGUGAGGAGAGUAUCCUAAGGCCAGCGAGAGAACUGUUGUUAAGGAACUCGGCAAAAUGACCCCGUAACUUAGGGAUAAGGGGUGCCACCAUCAGGUGGCCGCAGAGAAUAGGCCCAAGCGACUGUUUACCAAAAACAUAGGUUUCUGCUAAGUCGCAAGACGAUGUAUAGGAGCUGACGCCUGCCCGGUGCUGGAAGGUUAAGGGGAUCUGUUAGAGCAAUCGAAGCAGUGAACUUAAGCCCCAGUAAACGGCGGCCGUAACUAUAACGGUCCUAAGGUAGCGAAAUUCCUUGUCGGGUAAGUUCCGACCCGCACGAAAGGCGUAACGAUUUGGGCACUGUCUCAACAACAGACUCGGUGAAAUUGUAAUUCCGGUGAAGAUGCCGGAUACCUGCGACAGGACGGAAAGACCCCAUGGAGCUUUACUGUAGCUUGACAUUGGGUCUUGGUACUACAUGUACAGGAUAGGUGGGAGGCUUUGAAACCAGGACGCCAGUUUUGGCGGAGCCAUCCUUGGGAUACCACCCUUGUAGUACUGGGACUCUAACCAUAGGCCAUGAAUCUGGUCUUGGGACACUGUCAGGUGGGCAGUUUGACUGGGGCGGUCGCCUCCCAAAAGGUAACGGAGGCGCUCAAAGGUUCUCUCAGUACGGUCGGAAAUCGUACGUAGAGUGUAAAGGCAAAAGAGAGCUUGAUUGCAAGACAUACAGGUCGAGCAAGGAUGAAAAUCGGACUUAGUGAUCCGGUGGUUCUGCGUGGAAGGGCCAUCGCUCAACGGAUAAAAGCUACCCUGGGGAUAACAGGCUUAUCUCCCCCAAGAGUCCACAUCGACGGGGAGGUUUGGCACCUCGAUGUCGGCUCAUCACAUCCUGGGGCUGUAGUAGGUCCCAAGGGUUGGGCUGUUCGCCCAUUAAAGUGGUACGCGAGCUGGGUUCAGAACGUCGUGAGACAGUUCGGUCCCUAUCCGUCGCAGGCGUAGGAAAUUUGAGAAGACCUGUCCUUAGUACGAGAGGACCGGGAUGGACGUACCUCUGGUGUACCAGUUG